This 253-nucleotide ribosomal RNA is filed under the name uncultured bacterium. RNAcentral describes it as "partial 16S ribosomal RNA". It matches the Rfam family "Bacterial small subunit ribosomal RNA", at positions 524 to 776 of the family's 1533-position model. The record is from RNAcentral.
UACGUAGGGUGCAAGCGUUGUCCGGAAUCACUGGGCGUAAAGGGUGCGUAGGCGGGUUUUUAAGUCAGGGGUGAAAUCCUGGAGCUCAACUCCAGAACUGCCUUUGAUACUGAAGAUCUUGAGUCCGGGAGAGGUGAGUGGAACUGCGAGUGUAGAGGUGAAGUUCGUAGAUAUUCGCAAGAACACCAGUGGCGAAGGCGGCUCACUGGCCCGGUACUGACGCUGAGGCACGAAAGCGUGGGGAGCAAACAGG